AACAAUAAGGAUGGUGACAGAAAUGAAUUGAAAAGCUUCAUGGGUCAAACAUAGAAUUUUUACGAGAAAGCAAAAAUUCAACUUCAUCAAAAAUUUACUACAACCAGCGCCUCAAUAAUGGCAAAACCAUCAAAAGUCGAGUCAAAAUAGGAACAGGAGUAGUUCGUAGAAAAUGAAAAAUAAUAGUAAACUCCAUAGUUAAGGAAAACAACGUUCACAUAUGGCUGAACAUGAAGCAACUCACUUACAAAACAGAGGCAGUAAACAAUUAGCACAAAUUGAAGUCAUCAAUGAGCAAAUCAUAAACGGAUGUUUCAACAAUCCAAGGAAGCAUUGGAGCAUCAGAAAAUGGUGGCAACAUCGUUACGACACCGAGGAACGGAUCAACGAUUACACCAUUUCGAAUCUAGAUUCAUACCUGAUGUGCAACUAAAAAUUGAAAAGAAAAACCAAAGCAUAAGACAAACCACUACCGAAUGUCGAACGGAAACCUCAACGAGACUCAAGCUUUGACCGGAAUUUUAGUGACCAGGUGUUAUGUUGGACUAAAAAUCACCGAAAAAUAUGCAAGCUAACGGGAAUGUCAAAUCUGUCGUCAGCGAGAGAAAAGCUAAAACCAAAGAAAAGUUAUAAGAAUAGCAGCUUCCCUUCUCUCCGUAUGUGAAUGUGUGUAUGCAUUUUUGUGCUGCUGGUUCCCGUUUUUAAUGGUGGUCGCCGAAAAUCGAAACCAAACAGAUCGGCAUUCGAGCUUCACUAUCCAAUUUGAACUUUCCAGCCAAACUCCAACGACAAAUAUUGAUUUCUCCGACCAGUGGAGCACCGUUUGGUCACUCUUGUAGGUUGUGAGUGUGGUUGCUGGCCAGAGUUCAAGUCAUGGGGANNNN
This 884-nucleotide long non-coding RNA is filed under the name Nicotiana benthamiana. RNAcentral's name for it is "long non-coding RNA (NBEN_LNC026395)". Lineage: Eukaryota; Viridiplantae; Streptophyta; Magnoliopsida; Solanales; Solanaceae. The record is from RNAcentral.